AUUGAACGCUGGCGGCAUGCUUUACACAUGCAAGUCGAACGGUAACAGGUUAAGCUGACGAGUGGCGAACGGGUGAGUAAUGCAUCGGAACGUGCCCGGUCGUGGGGGAUAACACAGCGAAAGCUGCGCUAAUACCGCAUACGAUCUGAGGAUGAAAGCGGGGGACCGUAAGGCCUCGCGCGAUCGGAGGGGCCGAUGUCAGAUUAGGUAGUUGGUGGGGUAAAGGCUCACCAAGCCGACGAUCUGUAGCUGGUCUGAGAGGACGACCAGCCACACUGGGACUGAGACACGGCCCAGACUCCUACGGGAGGCAGCAGUGGGGAAUUUUGGACAAUGGGCGCAAGCCUGAUCCAGCAAUGCCGCGUGCAGGAAGAAGGCCUUCGGGUUGUAAACUGCUUUUGUACGGAGCGAAAAGGCUCUCUCUAAUACAGGGGGCUCAUGACGGUACCGUAAGAAUAAGCACCAGCUAACUACGUGCCAGCAGCCGCUGUAA
Molecule: ribosomal RNA, 493 nt
Filed under: uncultured bacterium
Lineage: Bacteria
Description: partial 16S ribosomal RNA
Rfam family: Bacterial small subunit ribosomal RNA
Source: RNAcentral